Molecule: long non-coding RNA, 818 nt
Filed under: Cricetulus griseus (Chinese hamster)
Lineage: Eukaryota; Metazoa; Chordata; Mammalia; Rodentia; Cricetidae
Description: lncRNA (ENSCGRG00000025692.1)
Source: RNAcentral
CUCUUCUAGCUGGAAUAAUGGAGACUGUACCCUGUGUGCUGCAGCCCAUUGUAUGCUGCCGAUGGAGAGGCGGACAGGGGUGACAGGGGCUCUUGGCCUUAGCCCCUCAGCCCUAAUAUUCGUGAUCAAGUCUCCCGGCUAGUUUAAAGGUAAAAUUGAUAUGAUUAAAAAAUAGCCCCCCAAGACCCCCCAAAAAAGGAAGAAAGGAAGAGGGAGAGAGAGCGAGAGAGUACUGUUUAUAUAGAAAUUCUGAAAUUUACUCCCCAAACAAUCAAAGACGAGUCGUGAGCAGCUGAACCGAGAAAAAAAAAAAAAAAAAAAAAAAAAAGGAGGCUGGGGGGAGGGAAGCAUCGCAAAAGAGUGGGAGAGGAAGCAAAAAGCAAGCGUCCGGGAACCGGAGGCCUGCUGGAUGCCGGGUCCGCCUGUCCAGCCGCCCUCGGACACUGGACUGUACACGGUGGGUACCAGAAGCGAGACUCGGCCAAACACUGACCUAUCAGAGAAACCACAAGACAGAAGUAACCCUGUUACCAAGCUUAUGUGGAGUGAUGAACAUGCUUGCAAACCCUUCGGAGAAAGACAGGGAUCGAGGAAUGGAAAAUACCACCACCUCCAGCAGAAGUGUUGCAAGAACUGAUUGCAGGGGAACUGGAGUUCCAGAUGUUGCACUUGAAGGGCUCAAGUGUGAGCAGGUGGCCAUGGAUUUUCAUCACAGGUUGCAGCAGAUGGUUUCAAUAGUUCUGUUGAAUGCUCUUCAUCUUUGCCUUCAAGAGGAACCCCAGAUUUCAUUUACGGUCCAUUGCUAUGUUCUAGUAUGA